This 497-nucleotide ribosomal RNA is filed under the name uncultured bacterium. RNAcentral describes it as "partial 16S ribosomal RNA". It matches the Rfam family "Bacterial small subunit ribosomal RNA", at positions 28 to 507 of the family's 1533-position model. The record is from RNAcentral.
GAUGAACGCUGGCGGCGUGCCUAAUACAUGCAAGUCGAGCGAACGGGCGAGUAGCUUGCUUCUCUGAUGUUAGCGGCGGAAGGGUGAGUAACAUAUGGAUAACCUACCUAUAAGACUGGGCUAACUUCGUGAAACCGGAGCUAGUACCGUAUAACAUUUUGAACGGCAGGGUUCAAAAGUUAAGGACGGUCUUGCUGUCACUUCUAGAUGGAUCCGCGCUGCAUUAGCUAUUUGGUAAGGUAACGGCUUACCAAAGCAACGAUGCAUAGCCGACCGGAGAGGGGGAUCGGCCACACUGGAAGUGAGACACGAUCCAGACUCCUACGGGAGGCAGCAGUAGGGACUCGUGCGCGAUGGGCGAAAGCCUGACGGAGCAACGCCGCGUGAGUGAUGAAGGUCUUCGGAUCGUAUGACUCUGUUAUUGGGGAAGAACAUAUGUGUAAGUAACUGUGCACAUCUUGACGGUACCUGAACAGAAAGCAACGGCUAACUACGUG